GUCUGAAAAUGGCAAACCAGCUGAAACGUUGGGACAAAGCUUCGGGUCUAAGGGCGCAGAGGUACGUAUGAUUGCCGGGUUGCGGAC
This 87-nucleotide non-coding RNA is filed under the name Paenalicyclobacillus ferrooxydans. Its description in RNAcentral is "Alicyclobacillus ferrooxydans c-di-GMP sequence". It matches the Rfam family "c-di-GMP-I riboswitch aptamer". Rfam says of the family: GEMM was predicted in a large-scale screen for bacterial structured RNA regulatory elements. Genes associated with GEMM are involved in a diverse array of functions, including chemotaxis regulation, signal transduction, secretion and chitin. The record is from Rfam by way of RNAcentral. Lineage: Bacteria; Bacillati; Bacillota; Bacilli; Caryophanales; Alicyclobacillaceae.